CACUUAUCCAGAAAGGCAGAGGGUACUGGCCCUGCGAAGCCUUAGCAACCAAUUCCGGUUACACGGAAAAAAGGUGCUAAUUCCGGCCCCUAUAUAAGGGGAAAGAUAAGUU
Molecule: non-coding RNA, 112 nt
Filed under: Chitinophaga niabensis
Lineage: Bacteria; Pseudomonadati; Bacteroidota; Chitinophagia; Chitinophagales; Chitinophagaceae
Description: SAM-I sequence
Rfam family: SAM riboswitch aptamer (S box leader)
About the family: The SAM riboswitch is found upstream of a number of genes which code for proteins involved in methionine or cysteine biosynthesis in Gram-positive bacteria. The SAM riboswitch acts at the level of transcription termination control. The predicted structure consists of a complex stem-loop region followed by a single stem loop terminator region.
Source: Rfam by way of RNAcentral